RNAcentral lists this ribosomal RNA (320 nucleotides) under uncultured eukaryote. RNAcentral describes it as "partial 18S ribosomal RNA". It matches the Rfam family "Eukaryotic small subunit ribosomal RNA", at positions 1470 to 1796 of the family's 1831-position model. The record is from RNAcentral.
CCCCUAGAUGUUCUGGGCCGCACGCGCGCUACACUGAACAGUUCAACAAGUCUUAACCUUGGCCGAUAGGUCUGGGUAAUCUUUGAACGCUGUUCGUGAUUGGGAUAGACCUUUGCAAUUAUGGGUCUUCAACGAGGAAUUCCUAGUAAACGCAAGUCAUCAGCUUGCAUUGAUUACGUCCCUGCCCUUUGUACACACCGCCCGUCGCACCUACCGAUUGAAUGGUCCGGUGAAAUCUCGGGACGGCGGCUUGGUCGCUUGCGUCCGACUGCUGAAACUUGAUUAAACCAUAUCAUUUAGAGGAAGGUAAAGUCGUANCA